AAUGAAUAUAGAACACUAUUGAAGGGAAGAGAGUCUCUUUUAAGCUGUCUUAUUGUCAUUCGAUUCUUGUUGCUAAUGAUGAUGGGACUGGUGGUUUGAGAGAAUUACUGCAACAAAUUCUAUUACUUCUUCUCUUUGGAUUUCACUUCAGAAAAUUUCCAAAAAUUGCCUCUAGCCCUACUUCUUGCAGUUGCAGAGACGGGAAAGUUUCUUUCAUGGUGCUUUGAUUUGAAAAAAGGUUCUAUUUCCUAGCUUUAAUGUGAA
Long non-coding RNA from Populus euphratica (Euphrates poplar), 264 nucleotides. RefSeq lists it as uncharacterized. NCBI's taxonomy places the organism in Eukaryota, Viridiplantae, Streptophyta, Magnoliopsida, Malpighiales, Salicaceae. The record is from RefSeq and is a predicted model, not a curated record. The transcript has 4 exons.